RNAcentral lists this ribosomal RNA (197 nucleotides) under uncultured bacterium. RNAcentral describes it as "partial 16S ribosomal RNA". It matches the Rfam family "Bacterial small subunit ribosomal RNA", at positions 1297 to 1500 of the family's 1533-position model. The record is from RNAcentral.
AUCGGAGUCUGCAACCCGACUCCGUGAAGCUGGAUUCGCUAGUAAUCGCGCAUCAGCCAUGGCGCGGUGAAUACGUUCCCGGGCCUUGUACACACCGCCCGUCAAGCCAUGGGAGCCGGGGGGUGCUUGAAGUGCGUCGCCGCAAGGCGCGCCCUAGAGCAAAACCGGUGACUGGGGCUAAGUCGUAACAAGGUACC